GGGCCCGCACAAGCGGUGGAGCAUGUGGUUUAAUUCGAUGAUACGCGAGGAACCUUACCAGGGCUUAAAUGUAGUGGGACAGGUCUAGAGAUAGACCCUUCUUCGGACUCAUUACAAGGUGCUGCAUGGUUGUCGUCAGCUCGUGCCGUGAGGUGUCAGGUUAAGUCCUAUAACGAGCGCAACCCCUGUUGUUAGUUGCCAUCGAGUCAUGUCGGGAACUCUAACAAGACUGCCGGUGCAAACCGUGAGGAAGGUGGGGAUGACGUCAAAUCAUCACGGCCCUUACGUCCUGGGCUACACACGUGCUACAAUGGCCGGUACAGAGAGCAGCCACUUCGCAAGAAGGAGCGAAUCUAUAAAACCGGUCUCAGUUCGGAUCGCAGUCUGCAACUCGACUGCGUGAAGCUGGAAUC
RNAcentral lists this ribosomal RNA (413 nucleotides) under uncultured bacterium. RNAcentral describes it as "bacterial SSU rRNA". It matches the Rfam family "Bacterial small subunit ribosomal RNA", at positions 917 to 1333 of the family's 1533-position model. The record is from RNAcentral.